GUGAAUUUGAAGAACAAGGUAGGAAGAUUUUUCUCUCCUAUUUGACCAUCCAUAUAAUUUCUCUUGGAUAUUAGAUGAAGUGUUAAAAGGUUGCUUUAAGACAAUUCUACUUGUGCUAAUAGAAUAAAAUAUGUGGUCCAUUUUAUGGUUGUAAAUUUGUUAAAUUUUAAUAAUGCAAAGUAGAAUUUCUUCUCUCUCUAUCCUUUUUUUCCCUGCUUCGUUAAAUUUUCAUGAUAUCAGGAUAUUGAUGGCUCCAGAGUUG
RNAcentral lists this unclassified non-coding RNA (262 nucleotides) under Hevea brasiliensis (rubber tree). Lineage: Eukaryota; Viridiplantae; Streptophyta; Magnoliopsida; Malpighiales; Euphorbiaceae. The record is from RNAcentral.